This is a long non-coding RNA of Hyla sarda, 270 nucleotides long. RefSeq lists it as uncharacterized. Lineage: Eukaryota; Metazoa; Chordata; Amphibia; Anura; Hylidae. The record is from RefSeq and is a predicted model, not a curated record. The transcript has 3 exons.
UAAUAAGUGACGAGGACAAUAACUUGCACCUCUUUUCACCAUGUGUGUGUAAACUGCGCUAACCCACGUAAUUGUGUGUUAGUAAAACAAAAUGAAGCAUUUCCCAUGCCUGCCACUUCAGCAAAAAAGAGUUGGCAUUGGACUGAAGACUGAUAAUAAUCCCUCUCCAAUCAAUAACACUGGAGAUCUGGUAGGAAUGGAAGGUGGAGACAAGCUGAAUUAGAAGUGUCCUUCAAGAAAUGAACAGUAGGCCUUCAUCGGGAAAAUACA